GAAAAUAUGCAGCUCUGUCGUCACAGGCUCUCAUUAGAAAUAUGCAGCUUGUGGAAAAGGAGCCCCCUACACAACCCAUUGUAAACUUUUCUCUCUUGCAGUUCUAACAAAGGCAGGCAAUGCUUGGAGCCCAAGCGCAGGGAAUGCUCUUCUCAGGGCCUCCUGAGAGGCAGCAGCCAGUCCCCCAAACUCUGCUCAUCUGAGGCAUGAAACUCCCUGUGAUGUCUGCUGAUAGCGAGAUUAACAUAGCAAGCCAACAAGUGAGCACGAGCAGAUGCCGGAGAGGAGACCUAGUGCAUCCUGUCUCUGGGCAGGAUGUGGAGGGAUCUGAGUGCGCACAUCCUCUCAACGUCCUGUUGCUUGUGCUGAGUACCUGUCAACCCCCGAAACACGCACAUGCCCUCCUCCCCCUCAAUAUCUGACUUCUGGAAUUCAGGAGACAGUUCCUUGUUGGGUGCAGCUACCCAAGUGCUGCCUAUUAAAUAGCAUAGCAUGAAUACCAGUGAAACAUUUAGUUAAUGGUAAACUUGAAGUUCUAACUGGACAAAUAUGCCCCCUCGAUCACAUUAAUCUGUUUAUGGUCCAGUCAUACUUUUCCUGGCCUCCUAGAAAUGUAAGUAUUAGAGUCAAUUUUAAUUCUGUUAAUGGACAAUGAAAAGGCUAAUCACACACCAAUUAAUCACAACGAUCUUGAUUUAUUUACUCCUUUCCUAGAAAAAAAAUCUUAUGAAUUGAUUUUAUCAAGUAAUUUAUUGUAGGGCUCCAAAACUAAGCAAUAUGUAAGCACUGCUAAAUGAUCUAAAUAAGAUAGGAAUGCAUGCGUAGUUUAAAGAGCAACACUGAUGCCCAGUUUGGGGGAAAAUGCCCUACAGUGUCUGGCAUAUUAUAGCUAUAUGAUCUUCUAUUAUAGUGUGAUUGGAAUAAGAUACACAUUAUGAAAUAGGACUCCAGAUUUCAGUUUUGCAAAAAUAAUUAGAUUUCCCCUGAAUUACCUGAUGACUGAAGAGAAACCAAAGGAUACAACUCACUUCGUCUUUAUUUACAGAGCACCACGGGUAUGGCAAGAUGCUUGCAAUGAGACUUCUGACUAGGAGAGUCCAGAACUAGUGACAGGGCCCCCACAGCAAGGGCUGGGGAGUACAGAUGGAAGGGUCAGUCUGGGAGUGAAACGUGUCCAAAGAGGAUGAUGACAACAGGAAAGAGGCUGAGCAGACAUGCAACAUGUAGGGAGCAAGAUGAGGCCAUGAGGUGGCAAAGCAAGACAUGAGGAAUCCAAGGGAGGCAAAGCCAAGAAUGCCAGGUGGACAGGCAGGCAGCACAGUCCGUCAGCAGGUGGCUGGAGUGCUGGGGAAUUAAAAAUAAGCUCAGUGGGGCUGGCCUGGUGGCGUGGUGGUUAAAAAGAAAAAAGCUUGGUCCAGUAAUCUUGAACAGAAGAGACACUGGUUCACGGUAAUUGUAACUUCAUUCAUUCAUUCAUUUAUUCAGCACAUGCUUAUCGGGAAUUUAUGGGUGUCAGGCACUUUGCUAGCCCUGAGGAUUUAGCCCAGAAUAAGACAGUGAGCUUCUGGAGCUUACAUUCUCAUGGCUUGAUUCUGCUCCCAGAGCCCAAGGCGGGCCAGGCCUGCACGUGAGGACCAAGGGGCUGCAGCAGUGGGAGGUGGAGGGAGGCCAAACCAGGAGUUAGGUGCCAUCCAGCUCGGGCUAUGUGCCAAGACCAAGCAGAAGAAACAGAGACAAAUGAGACCUGGACCCUGUCCUCCAGGGGCUUAUAUGUGAAAGAAGAAGACAAAUAAGACCGAACAGAGAAGGGCUGUACAGAACAUGCAGAUGGUUAUAGGAACAGAGCAGAGAAAUAGAUUAAAGUCCAUCUGGGGGACUCAAUAAGGCGCUUUCUAGUGUUUUGUGUUUAUUUUGAAGUUGGCACAGGGUUUUCUUAAAGGACUUAUUCAUUGGUUCAUUUUGUAAAAAAAGGAGGGGCUUUAAGAAACGUGUAGAGGCAGAAUUCUCCCUAAAUGAGAGGCUUAACAGUUUUACAUAGUUUUAGAAUGUAGUGGUGACUACCCCACUUAGUAAGGAACAAUGAAUCAUUUAUUAAUUACGAGAUAAUUUUAGAUGACCAGCCGUCCCAGAUUCCACUGGAGGUUUCUAGGACUUCAUGUCCCAGGGACCCUGUCAUCCCAGAACUAGGAAUGCUGCUGUGGAUAUCAUUGGUCUGCUCUGAUCCCAGCCUUAAAAGGAAAGAGAGGGAAGAGAGUCUAUACAUCAGCCUGGAACCUGGUGAGAAAAGUGUCUACCUCAUUCUUCAGGUGCUGAUACCGUUCAGAGGCAUGCAUGGAAGAAGAAAGGGGCUAGGAUGGGAAAGGAUAUUGAUUUCCUGGAACAAGUGGGGCUGGAAGUCCCCAAAGGGAUUUGUGAGCAACUUCCCAGCAGUCAAGGCCCUAACUGGACGUCAGGGUGGCCCCUGCCUUCUGGACAUCAGGGAGCCCAAAGGCCAGAACCAGGAAGUGAGAUGCAGGAAGCCUCGUGAAGGUGUGCAGAGUGGGACUAAUAUCCCUGGUAAGCAGUUUAUGGGGUUACCACGAAGAUGCCAGGUGGACAUGCUUCUCCUUCAGUUUUACCAUGAAUUCCUUUCUUUAGGUUUGUUGAACAUGGAUUGUGAACACACUAGUUUCACUAUGUAUUUAUUCAUUUGUGGGCAGAUUCCAGCAGGGCAUAAGCAGAACGGGUACAAAUAUCUCAUGUUGCCCCUGCCCAUAGUAGGGAUUGUACUUUUGGGAAAGAGACUUUUCUCUGGAGGUUGCUCAGCUUGUACAAGGGAAAUGUGGUGGAUCUGUUGGUGACCAUCUUGUCUCCAGAAGGGGCGAGCUUGUUUGAGAAUGCAGCCAACACAGAGAAAAACAGAGACAAGAAGUGGAAAGACAUUCCUAACCUUUUUUGAGUACCUGGGUCAAGCCAUAACUGACAUUCUUCUUUGAUUUUUUAAAAUAUGUGAACCAAGUUUUUUUUUCCCUACUCAAGCAAGUCUGAAUUUGGAUUUCUAUAACAAGCGGUUAAAAGAGUCUUGGUACACUGACACUUGGUAAACUAUGUUUUUUUCAUUCAUUCGAUAAACAUUUGUUGAGUCCUUCUACUGUUUGGCACUGUGCAGGAAACUGAGAAUGUAAAGCCAAUAAGAGCUCCCUCAAGGGGUUAUACCCUGGUGGAAGAGACACUUGAACCAAUAAUCACAGUACUGUGUGAUAAUCAUUAUAAUAACAAUUUGUAUGGGGUGUUAAGUCUGCACUAACUUUGUCUGGGUGUGGAAGAUGUCAUGGCAAGCUUCAUGGAGGAGGUAACAUCUGAUUAGGGGAAUGUCUCUUGAGUGGGAAAAAGAAAUGGAAAAUUACCUAUGUAAUUAGUAUAGAGUGACCAGAAUGUGAAAAAUCCAAAUGUAGGACAGAGAGGUUGACAGGCUGUGAGGUGGCAGGGGUGUCAGUGGGAGGGGGGAGUCAGUCUGGUUGGACCAGAGCUCUCUGACUUGCCCUGACUCAUCAUUUUCUCAGGAUCCCAGCGUUUUUCUGCUCCAUCCCUGAGACUUGCCUCCCAUGUCCUAAUAGGAGACCCCUCCACACCUCUGCUAUGGGCAGGGGCGAUGUGAUGUAUCUGUGCCCAUUCUGCUUAUGCCACACUGGAAUCUGCCCACAAAUGAAUAAAUACAUAGUGAAGUUAGGGUAAAGGUCACUGCCUCCCUUAUAGUAAGGUCUAAUGCCAUUAAGGUUGGGGGUAGGGGUGAGAGAGUAUGCUCUGCUCCACACAGUCGUUCAAACUUUUGUCUAUAGUUCUACCAUCUUCUAGGGCCCUCAGGUCCUCCGUAGGAUUUUCUGUCUGCAUUUCAUUGGCCAGAACUCAGCCACAUAGCACCAUGUCACUGCAAGAAGCUUGGAAAUGAAGUCCAGCACUGUGCCACGGGAGGAGAGGAGAAUGUGGGUAUUGGUGGGCACUAGAAGUUUCUGACACACCUAGAUUGUAAGACAUAAUAAAUGGCUUUAUACAACCAUUACAAAAGCUCAGGUGGUGUCAAUCCACCCACAUUUUUCAGGAAAGAUGCUGAAAACCAUGUAUGAUCAUUAAAUUUUUGAGCCUUUAAGUCACUGAACAUGUUUAAGAACUAGAGCUACUAUUCUGAAUCAGUUCAGAUAUUAUUUUUGUAUUGCAGCUGAAGAAAUAUCAAUAGCAAUUGAUACCAGCAACUAGCUGCAUGAAAGCAAACACUUCUGAAUUAAGCAGAUACAGGCAUCAGUUACUUCGAAACAAAUUCCACACAGAUUCCUUCUCAAUCUAGGAUUACACCCAAAAUUUAGAUAAUGUUUAUACUUGGCUCCAAAAGGAAUGUUUCAAACUGAACUAGUUGUGUUUAUAAGAAGAUAUUACUAGUAAGGAGAUACUGUGUCAGUGGGAGGAUAGCGUUUGGACUAUUUGCCAAAAACAGACUUGAAAUGUUAUGAAUAAUGAUGUUUUGAACUAUAGUCUUAACACAAAAGGCAAAAAAUAGAAUUGUGGAAAAAUAUAGUGGUAUUCUCCAAAUCCUUACAGCAAUUAAAAAUCAAGAGCGAUUUAAAAUUGUAAUGCUGCAGUGAGUUUAAUUUGAAAUUAAAAGUGAUUUUUAUUUUAAAACUGAAAAGUCUCUUAGGGAAAAGACUCAACUGAAGGAAGUAGAGAAAUGAGGACCACAAACUGAUGAGAUGCUCCAGCAAGAAGCAGAUGGUCUGAAAUACAAAUCUGAGCUGCAGCACUGGGAAGAAAGGCAGAAAAAAGCCGGUGUCUGCGCACCCCAUAUACCCACUUUGAAGCCAGGACUUGGGGAGCUAGGCAAGGAUGCCUCUCACAAAUGCAAUCUCCAAAGUGUGUCCCUGCAAAAAUCCUUGAAGAUUCUGAGGAGGUUUACCUCUCUCCAUUUGCUGACUCCUUCUAACUCCAGGAUCUCCGGAUAAAUCUACUUCCACAUCUGGAAUCCUUGAGGGGGUGGAGAGGACCAAGACGGCAAGCUUUAGGAGGUAGGGAUGAGGGUGAGGCUCCUGCUCUGCUGAGAGAAUGCGGCCAGGACACUCUGAAACCCUCGGAAGGAACAGGUGGUGUUGGAAGCAGGGGAUCCCAAAUGCGCAGCACUGGAAAGCAUUCCUUGUUUCAUUCUCAGCAUCCCAAAAUGGCUUGCCUGGGACUCCAGUCAUGAAGACACCCACUCUGCCCCCUGAUAGCCACGAGAAAGGCACAGUUCAUUUUCUCAGACUCUUGGUGGUUAGUUAGACUGGCAGCAAGACCAGCUGCUAAGGAAGCUAGUUAUGGGCAAGGUUAUGAUGUCGGUGCAGUAUCUUUCCCAUCCCCAGGGUCCACUUGCUGUGCUUUCAUUUUAAUUCCUUGGUCAUCCCCUCAUCCACUCUUUCCAGAUGCCCAGGACUAAAAACGCACUCUUAUAUAGGGGUCUACUAUCACUUGCUUAAGCCCUAAUACGAAUUUAAAGAUUUUAUUUUUUCCCUUUUCUCCCCAAAGCCCCCCAGUACAUAGUUGUAUAUUCUUCGUUGUGCGUCCUUCUAGUUGUGGCAUGUGGACGCUGCCUCAGCGUGGUUUGAUGAGCAGUGCCAUGUCCGCGCCCAGGAUUCGAACCAACGAAACACUGGGCCGCCAGCAGCGGAGCGCGCAGACUUAACCACUCGGCCACGGGGCCAGCCCCUCUAAUACGAAUUUAAAUAAACACGUUCUUGCCCAAGGGUA
This is a long non-coding RNA of Equus caballus (horse), 5748 nucleotides long. RefSeq lists it as uncharacterized. NCBI's taxonomy places the organism in Eukaryota, Metazoa, Chordata, Mammalia, Perissodactyla, Equidae. The record is from RefSeq and is a predicted model, not a curated record.